This 1008-nucleotide ribosomal RNA is filed under the name Priestia flexa. RNAcentral describes it as "bacterial SSU rRNA". It matches the Rfam family "Bacterial small subunit ribosomal RNA", at positions 65 to 1036 of the family's 1533-position model. The record is from RNAcentral. Lineage: Bacteria; Bacillati; Bacillota; Bacilli; Caryophanales; Bacillaceae.
UGGGAAAAAAAGGAGCUGCUUCUUGACGUUAGCGGCGGACGGGUGAGUAACACGUGGGCAACCUGCCUGUAAGACUGGGAUAACUCCGGGAAACCGGAGCUAAUACCGAGAUAACAUUUUCUCUUGCAUAAGAGAAAAUUGAAAGAUGGUUUCGGCUAUCACUUACAGAUGGGCCCGCGGUGCAUUAGCUAGUUGGUGAGGUAACGGCUCACCAAGGCAACGAUGCAUAGCCGACCUGAGAGGGUGAUCGGCCACACUGGGACUGAGACACGGCCCAGACUCCUACGGGAGGCAGCAGUAGGGAAUCUUCCGCAAUGGACGAAAGUCUGACGGAGCAACGCCGCGUGAGUGAUGAAGGCUUUCGGGUCGUAAAACUCUGUUGUUAGGGAAGAACAAGUACAAGAGUAACUGCUUGUACCUUGACGGUACCUAACCAGAAAGCCACGGCUAACUACGUGCCAGCAGCCGCGGUAAUACGUAGGUGGCAAGCGUUAUCCGGAAUUAUUGGGCGUAAAGCGCGCGCAGGCGGUUUCUUAAGUCUGAUGUGAAAGCCCACGGCUCAACCGUGGAGGGUCAUUGGAAACUGGGGAACUUGAGUGCAGAAGAGAAAAGCGGAAUUCCACGUGUAGCGGUGAAAUGCGUAGAGAUGUGGAGGAACACCAGUGGCGAAGGCGGCUUUUUGGUCUGUAACUGACGCUGAGGCGCGAAAGCGUGGGGAGCAAACAGGAUUAGAUACCCUGGUAGUCCACGCCGUAAACGAUGAGUGCUAAGUGUUAGAGGGUUUCCGCCCCUUUAGUGCUGCAGCUAACGCAUUAAGCACUCCCCCCUGGGGAAUACGGUCGGCAAGACUGAAAACUCAAAGGGAAUUGACGGGGGGCCCGCCACAAACCGGUGGAAGCAUGUUGGUUUAAAUUCAAAAGCAACCGCGAAAGAAACUUUACCAAGGUCUUGGACAUUCCUCCUGACAAACUCUAGGAGAUAGAAACCGUUCCCCUUUCUGGGGGGACA